UACGUAGGGUGCAAGCGUUAAUCGGAAUUACUGGGCGUAAAGCGUGCGCAGGCGGUGAUAUAAGACAGAUGUGAAAUCCCCGGGCUCAACCUGGGAACUGCAUUUGUGACUGUAUAGCUAGAGUACGGCAGAGGGGGAUGGAAGUCCGCGUGUAGCAGUGAAAUGCGUAGAUAUGCGGAGGAACACCGAGGGCGAAGGCAAUCCCCUGGGCCUGUACUGACGCUCAUGCACUAAAGCGUGGGACGCAAACAGGAUUAGAUCCCCCUGGAGUCC
Molecule: ribosomal RNA, 273 nt
Filed under: uncultured bacterium
Lineage: Bacteria
Description: partial 16S ribosomal RNA
Rfam family: Bacterial small subunit ribosomal RNA
Source: RNAcentral